UCCUACGGGUGGCAGCAGUCGGGAAUAUUGGGCAAUGGGGGAAACCCUGACCCAGCAACGCCGCGUGAAGGAAGAAGGUCUUCGGAUUGUAAACUUCUUUGAUCAGGGACGAAACAAAUGACGGUACCUGAAGAACAAGCCACGGCUAACUACGUGCCAGCAGCCGCGGUAAUACGUAGGUGGCAAGCGUUAUCCGGAUUUACUGGGUGUAAAGGGCGUGUAGGCGGGUUUGCAAGUUGGAUGUGAAAUCCUCAGGCUUAACCUGAGAGGGUCAUCCAAAACUGCAGAUCUUGAGUACUGGAGAGGAUAGUGGAAUUCCUAGUGUAGCGGUAAAAUGCGUAGAUAUUAGGAGGAACACCAGUGGCGAAGGCGACUAUCUGGACAGUAACUGACGCUGAGGCGCGAAAGCGUGGGGAGCAAACAGGAUUAGAUACCCCAGUAGUCC
Molecule: ribosomal RNA, 445 nt
Filed under: uncultured Clostridium sp.
Lineage: Bacteria; Bacillati; Bacillota; Clostridia; Eubacteriales; Clostridiaceae
Description: bacterial SSU rRNA
Rfam family: Bacterial small subunit ribosomal RNA
Source: RNAcentral